CAAAGGUUUGGUCCUGGCCUUGAAGUCAAUUACUUCUUAAUAUACACAUGCAAGUAUCCGCCCCCCUGUGAAAACGCCCUUAAACUCCCCCAUAGGGACAAGGAGCUGGUAUCAGGCACGAAAUUCUGCCCAAGACACCUAGCUUAGCCACACCCACAAGGGAACUCAGCAGUGAUUAACAUUGAACAUAAGCGACAGCUUGACUCAGUUAAAGAAAAUAGAGCCGGCAAAUCUGGUGCCAGCCGCCGCGGUUAUACCACGUGACUCAAAUUGACCUUAACCGGCGUAAAGCGUGAUUAAAGUUUCUAAAAAUUAAAGUUAAACUGAAAUUAAGCUGUGACACGCUUAUUUUAAGGAAAACCUAAUACGAAAGUUACUUUAACUAAAUCUACUUGAACUCACGACAAUUAGGACACAAACUGGGAUUAGAUACCCCACUAUGCCUAAUCGUAAACUUUAAUUUACAACAAUAUCGCCAGGGAACUACGAGCAAAGCUUAAAACCCAAAGGACUUGACGGUACCCCAAAUCCACCUAGAGGAGCCUGUCCUAUAACCGAUACCCCCCGUUUAACCUCACCAUUUUUAGCCUCUCAGCCUGUAUACCUCCGUCGUCAGCUUACCACGUGAGCGAACACUAGUGAGCUUAAUGUUUAUACACCAACACGUCAGGUCAAGGUGCAGCAUAUGAAAUGGAAAGAGAUGGGCUACACUUUCUAAUAUAGAAUACACGAAGGACUAUUUAUGAAACCUAGUCUGAAGGAGGAUUUAGAAGUAAAAAAAAACAAGAGCGUUUUCUUUAACUAGGCACUGGGGUGUGUACACACCGCCCGUCACCCUCUUCAAAGCUCAAUUAUAGUAACUAACUUAAAUUCGCUAAACAGAAGAGGCAAGUCGUAACAUGGUAAGUAUACCGGAAGGUGUGCUUGGAAA
RNAcentral lists this non-coding RNA (931 nucleotides) under Engystomops guayaco. Its description in RNAcentral is "12S ribosomal RNA". It matches the Rfam family "Bacterial small subunit ribosomal RNA". The record is from RNAcentral. Lineage: Eukaryota; Metazoa; Chordata; Amphibia; Anura; Leptodactylidae.